Molecule: ribosomal RNA, 460 nt
Filed under: uncultured bacterium
Lineage: Bacteria
Description: partial 16S ribosomal RNA
Rfam family: Bacterial small subunit ribosomal RNA
Source: RNAcentral
CCUACGGGAGGCAGCAGUGAGGAAUAUUGGUCAAUGGGCGCGAGCCUGAACCAGCCAAGCCGCGUGAAGGAUGACUGUCCUACGGGUUGUAAACUUCUUUUAUAAAGGAAUAUAGGGAGGCAUGUGUGCCUUUUUGUAUGUACUUUAUGAAUAAGGAUCGGCUAACUCUGUGCCAGCAGCCGCGGUAAUACGGAGGAUCUGAGCGUUAUCCGUAUUUAUUGGGUUUAAAGGGAGCGUAGAUGGGUUGUUAAGUUAGUUGUGAAAGAUUGCGGCUCAACCGUAAAAUUGCAAUUGAUACUGGCAGCCUUGAGUACAGUUGAGGUAGGCGGAAUUCGUGGUGUAGCGGUGAAAUGCUUAGAUAUCACGAAGAACCCCGAUUGCGAAGGCAGCUUACUAAACUGUGACUGACAUUGAUGCUCGAAAGUGUGGGUAUCAAACAGGAUUAGAUACCCCUGUAGUC